This 932-nucleotide unclassified non-coding RNA is filed under the name Hevea brasiliensis (rubber tree). Lineage: Eukaryota; Viridiplantae; Streptophyta; Magnoliopsida; Malpighiales; Euphorbiaceae. The record is from RNAcentral.
AUCAUUUCAGAGCAUCAGAAAUGGUUAGUAUUUUUCUUCCAUAGCUAUAAUUAAUUUCAUUGUUAAUUAGAAAUGAAUCAGAUUGCUUUUUUCUGUGGAAGGCCAAGAUUUCAUAUGUUAGAUAUGAUUGCAAUGAUUAUUCACUUGAUAAUCAACAUGUUUCUCAUUUUUGUUCACUCUUUUGGGGGCUAUAUAAUUGUCUGUUGUUAGGAGAUUUUGUUGUGCUCUUGUUAUGGUUUUUGUUAUGUAGUAAAGACAAAAAGUUCAAACACUCCUCCCCCCACCCCCCUGCCGCUGAGGCAGGGAACUUGUGUCAGGUGUCCAAUUUGGCCCAGACCUUUUCCAAUUGGCUCAAUUAAGCCCAAUCUGUUGGGCAUGUUUCACAUAUGCAGAAUAAAUAAAAAAGGGUCUCUCUCUCUCUUUCUCUCUGAAAAAUAGCAACCAGGACUCUAAUAAAAUAAAAGAGAGAGAGUAACAUAUCAGUUAUCACUAAAGAAGCCAAAAACUAAUCUUCCCUUGCAUUCUCAAACCAAAAAAUGCAAUUAAAAACCUAGAAGAAUUACAAACACAGUCAAGGGCAUUGCAUUGGUAGAAGAAUCAGAAAUGUAGUUGAAAUGCAGCCACAACCCAAAUCAGAAAUGCAACUGUGGUCAAAUUGGGCCAAAUUGGACGUUUGAUACAAGUUCAGGAGGGAAAUUGAACUUUAUGCCUAAUGUAAAACCCACUUUACCUGUAGCUUACUGUGUCAUUAUCAGCCUAUGUCGUUCAUGCUUGGCAGUGGAUAGAAGGAUCUACUUCUGCACAAAACAAAAUUUGUUGCACUGACAGUUGAGAUGCAGGCUUCUUUCUUAUUCUAUAUCAUGGGCGGAAAAGCUUCAUGAUGGCUGACUAAACUUUUGCAAUUCUCAGGAUAUCAUAAACAUUGCAGUUGA